AUGUCAAAAGUUGGCAGGGAGUAGUCACGUGGUUCCGGUUGUUUGUUUUGCAGACUUACACCAUCAACCUGUGAGGAAGACCUAUACUUAAACCUGCCAAGUACUCUGAGCUAUGGAGAAGAAAGGCAGAUCACUCUCCACUGUACCACCAGGGAAGUCCCAGGACUUUUACACUGGAUAGGACUAAGUUUGUGGCAGCUGGAGAUCACUUAGUCCACCACUGUCCAACAUGGCAAUGAUACUCCCAAACAUCCAGAUAGGAGAAGAACAAUGCCCUUGGGGACCUUGGAGGCAUGUCUCAUGGCCUGACAGCUCGACAUCAUGGUCUUGGGUGUGGAACGUGGAUUCCCUGGUGGUCCAGUGAUCCAACUCCUGAGCCCAGGCACUGCAGUCACUGAAGCCUUCACACCUAGAACCUGUGCUUUGCAACAAGCAAAACCAGCCACUGUGAUGAGAAGCUCACACACCACAAUGAGGAGUAGCCACCACUUGCCACAACUAGAGAAAGUCUUUGUGCAGCAACAAAGACCCA
Molecule: long non-coding RNA, 532 nt
Organism: Bubalus bubalis (water buffalo)
Lineage: Eukaryota; Metazoa; Chordata; Mammalia; Artiodactyla; Bovidae
Exons: 4
Source: RefSeq, a predicted model, not a curated record